UGAUUAUGUAGAUAUUCAAUCUCUUGCAAU
RNAcentral lists this non-coding RNA (30 nucleotides) under Rattus norvegicus (Norway rat). The record is from RNAcentral. Lineage: Eukaryota; Metazoa; Chordata; Mammalia; Rodentia; Muridae.